GUCUGGGAAACUGCCUGAUGGAGGGGGAUAACUACUGGAAACGGUAGCUAAUACCGCAUAACGUCGCAAGACCAAAGAGGGGGACCUUCGGGCCUCUUGCCAUCGGAUGUGCCCAGAUGGGAUUAGCUAGUAGGUGGGGUAAAGGCUCACCUAGGCGACGAUCCCUAGCUGGUCUGAGAGGAUGACCAGCCACACUGGAACUGAGACACGGUCCAGACUCCUACGGGAGGCAGCAGUGGGGAAUAUUGCACAAUGGGCGCAAGCCUGAUGCAGCCAUGCCGCGUGUAUGAAGAAGGCCUUCGGGUUGUAAAGUACUUUCAGCGGGGAGGAAGGGAGUAAAGUUAAUACCUUUGCUCAUUGACGUUACCCGCAGAAGAAGCACCGGCUAACUCCGUGCCAGCAGCCGCGGUAAUACGGAGGGUGCAAGCGUUAAUCGGAAUUACUGGGCGUAAAGCGGCACGCAGGCGGUUUGUUAAGUUCAGAUGUGGAAAUCCCCGGGCUCAACCUGGGAACUGCAUCUUGAUACUGGCAAGCUUGAGUCUCGUAGAGGGGGGUAGAAUUCCAGGUGUAGCGGUGAAAUGCGUAGAAGAUC
RNAcentral lists this ribosomal RNA (592 nucleotides) under bacterium. RNAcentral's name for it is "bacterial SSU rRNA". It matches the Rfam family "Bacterial small subunit ribosomal RNA", at positions 115 to 698 of the family's 1533-position model. The record is from RNAcentral.